UACGUAGGUGGCGAGCGUUAUCCGGAAUGAUUGGGCGUAAAGGGUGCGUAGGCGGUUUGAUAAGUUAGAGGUGAAAUGUUAGGGCUUAACCCUGAAACUGCCUCUAAUACUGUUGAUCUAGAGAGUAGAUGCGGUAGGCGGAAUGUAUGGUGUAGCGGUGAAAUGCUUAGAGAUCAUACAGAACACCGAUUGCGAAGGCAGCUUACCAAUCUAUAUCUGACGUUGAGGCACGAAAGCGUGGGGAGCAAACAGG
Molecule: ribosomal RNA, 253 nt
Filed under: uncultured Rikenellaceae bacterium
Lineage: Bacteria; Pseudomonadati; Bacteroidota; Bacteroidia; Bacteroidales; Rikenellaceae
Description: partial 16S ribosomal RNA
Rfam family: Bacterial small subunit ribosomal RNA
Source: RNAcentral